Molecule: ribosomal RNA, 301 nt
Filed under: uncultured bacterium
Lineage: Bacteria
Description: partial 16S ribosomal RNA
Rfam family: Bacterial small subunit ribosomal RNA
Source: RNAcentral
CAGUAGCCGCGGUAUACGGAGGGAGCUAGCGUUGUUCGGAAUUACUGGGCGUAAAGCGCACGUAGGCGGUUAUUCAAGUCAGAGGUGAAAGCCCGGGGCUCAACCCCGGAACUGCCUUUGAAACUAGAUGACUGGAAUCUUGGAGAGGUCAGUGGAAUUCCGAGUGUAGAGGUGAAAUUCGUAGAUAUUCGGAAGAACACCAGUGGCGAAGGCGACUGACUGGACAAGUAUUGACGCUGAGGUGCGAAAGCGUGGGGAGCAAACAGGAUUAGAUACCCCUGUAGUCCCUGUCUCUUAUACA